GUCGAGAGGCUUCGGCAAUGGGGGAAACCCUGACCGAGCGACGCCGCGUGGGGGAUGAAGGCCUUUGGGUUGUAAACCCCUGUCAAGUGGGACGAAACACUCUGAGGUGAUAAGCCGAGGGGUUUGACGGUACCGCCAGAGGAAGCUCCGGCUAACUCCGUGCCAGCAGCCGCGGUAAUACGGGGGGAGCAAGCGUUGUUCGGAAUUACUGGGCGUAAAGGGCGUGUAGGCGGCCUUGUAAGUCGGGGGUGAAAUCCACUGGCUCAACCAGUGACGUGCCUUCGAAACUGCUUGGCUUGAGUAUGACAGAGGAAAGCGGAAUUCCAGGUGUAGCGGUGAAAUGCGUAGAUAUCUGGAAGAACACCGGUGGCGUAGGCGGCUUUCUGGGUCAAUACUGACGCUGAGGCGCGAAAGCCAGGGGAGCAAACGGGAUUAGAAACCCGAGUAGUCC
RNAcentral lists this ribosomal RNA (451 nucleotides) under uncultured bacterium. Its description in RNAcentral is "bacterial SSU rRNA". It matches the Rfam family "Bacterial small subunit ribosomal RNA", at positions 354 to 796 of the family's 1533-position model. The record is from RNAcentral.